AUUGAACGCUGGCGGCAGGCCUAACACAUGCAAGUCGAGCGAGCGGCGGACGGGUGAGUAAUGUAUGGGGACUGCCCGAUAGAGGGGGAUAACUACUGGAAACGGUGGCUAAUACCGCAUACUAUCGGAUAACCCAUAUGGGAUUAGCUAGUAGGUGGGGUAAAGGCUCACCUAGGCGACGAUCUCUAGCUGGUCUGAGAGGAUGAUCAACCAGACUGGGACAUAAACACGGCGCAGACUCCUACGGGGACGGCAGUGGGGAGUAUUGCACGAUGGGCGCAAGCCUGAUGCAGCCAUGCCGCGUGUAUGAAGAAGGCCUGAGGAUUGUAAAGUACUUUCAGCGAGGAGGCGUUACCCGCAGAAGAAGCGCCGACUAACUCCGUGCCAGCAGCCGCGGUAAUUC
Molecule: ribosomal RNA, 403 nt
Filed under: uncultured bacterium
Lineage: Bacteria
Description: partial 16S ribosomal RNA
Rfam family: Bacterial small subunit ribosomal RNA
Source: RNAcentral